CUUUUCGACCAUCAACCGUCACGUAACAGAAAUGCAAAUUACUAUUUGAUGUAGAUGCAGGAACUAGAUUUACAAAUCUAAACUCCAAGGUAGCAGCUUCAGUUUCUCAGUGAAAUAGGUAUUCAAACCUGAGUAACACAAUGGCCCAAUGUCAAAGAACUCGAGUCAUACAGCUCUACAAAAAUCUGUUGCAUAUGGGUCGUGAAUACCCAAAGGGAUACGAAUACUUCCGAGACCGACAGAGGAACGCCUUCAGGAACAACAGAACCAUUACGGACCCACAAGAAAUCGAGGCCCUUAUUGCCAAAGGGGAAUAUGUUCAGAAGGAAAUAGAAGCAUUGUAUUAUUUGAUGAAGUACCGGACUUUAAAAAGAAGAUAUUACAGUAGUCCCCCCACAGAAGAUCAGAAAUAGAGAUUUUGUUUGUGAUGUUGAAUAACUUAAGGGUAUAAAUGUUUGUACGAGGAAAAUAUGGCCAAGAUGAAGAAAAUGUUUGGACGAGGAAAAUAUGGCAAGAAUGAAAAAACAAUGUGAGAUACCGGCUGUGAUACUUGGAAAAUUUCACUACAAAGGGCAUUCCGGGAGAUUUUGUAGUUACUAUGCAUUUUCAAAAAAGGAUUAUUAUAUUGUGUGAAUUGGUGUUUUAGGAAAUUGAUUUUAUCUUGUUUGUAUUUCAAAUAUUUCAGUCAAAGCUCAAUAUACUUCCCAUUGUAUACAAUUUAAAGUCAAGACUCAAUAUGAUUUCCCUUUUUUUAUACAGUUAAACCUUGAUGUAAUGCUACAAUACAGUUAAAUGUUUUAACAGUUAAACCAUGAUUUUAUACACAACAUACUAGAAAAGGCAUAGAUAAAAUUCAAAUAUGAUUUAUUAAUUUUAGAUUCCUCAGCAACAUGAAUUACAAUCUUAAAUUUGGCUCUUCUUAGGGGCUACUCACCAUGUUGUAUACAUUUACUAAAAUAUAACCAUAACUUCAUAUUAAAAACACACGAUCAAAUUAAUUAAUUUUGAUAUAACCUGUAAAGGUAGUUAUUAUCUGAAUGGGGAAAAGGAAUUCCCUGGAAUUCUAAUGGCCAAAAAAACAAAAAAAA
Molecule: long non-coding RNA, 1088 nt
Organism: Pecten maximus
Lineage: Eukaryota; Metazoa; Mollusca; Bivalvia; Pectinida; Pectinidae
Exons: 3
Source: RefSeq, a predicted model, not a curated record